Molecule: ribosomal RNA, 392 nt
Filed under: uncultured bacterium
Lineage: Bacteria
Description: partial 16S ribosomal RNA
Rfam family: Bacterial small subunit ribosomal RNA
Source: RNAcentral
AUACGGAGGAUGCGAGCGUUAUCCGGAUUUAUUGGGUUUAAAGGGAGCGUAGGCGGGAGCUUAAGUCAGCGGUUAAAUGGUGCGGCUCAACCGUGCCCUGCCGUUGAAACUGGGUUUCUUGAGAGUGCAAGAGGCGGAUGGAAUUCAUGGUGUAGCGGUGAAAUGCUUAGAUAUCAUGAAGAACUCCGAUUGCGAAGGCAGUCCGCUGGGGCACGUCUGACGCUGAUGCUCGAAGGUGCGGGAAUCAAACAGGAUUAGAUACCCUGGUAGUCCGCACGGUAAACGAUGAUUACCCGCUGUCGGCGGCAGACAGUCGGCGGCCAAGCGAAAGCGAUAAGCGCCCCACCUGGGGAGUACGGUCGCAAGGCUGAAACUCAAAGGAAUUGGCGGGG